RNAcentral lists this ribosomal RNA (406 nucleotides) under uncultured bacterium. RNAcentral describes it as "partial 16S ribosomal RNA". It matches the Rfam family "Bacterial small subunit ribosomal RNA", at positions 28 to 526 of the family's 1533-position model. The record is from RNAcentral.
GACGAACGCUGGCGGCGCGCUUAACACAUGCAAGUCGAGCGAAGCGGCGGACGGGUGAGUAACACGUGAGUAACCUGCCUUAGACAUUGGGAUAGCCUCGGGAAACCGGGAUUAAUACCAAAUGGUCUAAGAUGGACUCGCGUCCCAUUAGCUAGUUGGGAGGUAACGGCCCACCAAGGCGGCGAUGGGUAGCCGGCCUGAGAGGGUGAACUACCACAUUGGAACUGGGAAACGGUACAAAAUCUACGGGAGGCAGCAGUGGGGAAUAUUGCACAAUGGAGGGAAUUCUGAUGCAGCGACGCUGCGUGAACGAAUAAGUCUUUCGAGUCGUAAAGUUCUUUUAUAUGGGAAGCGGUACCAUAAGAAAAAGCCCCGGCUAACUACGUGCCAGCAGCCGCGGUAAUAC